GAUGAACGCUGGCGGCGUGCCUAAUACAUGCAAGUCGAGCGAACGGACGAGAAUCUUGCUUCUCUGAUGUUAGCGGCGGACGGGUGAGUAACACGUGGAUAACCUACUUAUAAGACUGGGAUAACUUCGGGAAUCCGGAGCUAAUACCGGAUAAUAUUUUGAACCGCAUGGUUCAAAAGUGAAAGACGGUCUUGCUGUCACUUAUAGAUGGAUCCGCGCUGCAUUAGCUAGUUGGUAAGGUAACGGCUUACCAAGGCAACGAUGCAUAGCCGACCUGAGAGAGUGAUCGGCCACACUGGAACUGAAACACGGUCCAGACUCCUACGGGAGGCAGCAGUAGGGAAUCUUCCGCAAUGGGCGAAAGCCUGACGGAGCAACGCCGCGUGAGUGAUGAAGGUCUUCGGAUCGUAAAACUCUGUUAUUAGGGAAGAACAUAUGUGUAAGUAACUGUGCACAUCUUGACGGUACCUAAUCAGAAAGCCACGGCUAACUACGUG
RNAcentral lists this ribosomal RNA (497 nucleotides) under uncultured bacterium. RNAcentral describes it as "partial 16S ribosomal RNA". It matches the Rfam family "Bacterial small subunit ribosomal RNA", at positions 28 to 507 of the family's 1533-position model. The record is from RNAcentral.